Pelobates cultripes (western spadefoot toad) is the source of this 156-nucleotide non-coding RNA. Lineage: Eukaryota; Metazoa; Chordata; Amphibia; Anura; Pelobatidae. The record is from the annotation of a GenBank genome assembly.
UGUUCUAGAGCAGGGGUAGUCCACCUUUGGCACUCCAAAUGUUGUGGACUACAUCUCCCAUGAUGCUCUUAUAGCCAUAAUACUGGCAAAGGAUCAAGGGAAAUAUAAUCCACAACAUCAGGAGUGCCAAAGGUUGUCUACCCCUGUUCUAGAGUA